UACGUAGGGUGCAAGCGUUGUCCGGAAUUAUUGGGCGUAAAGAGCUCGUAGGCGGUUUGUCGCGUCUGCUGUGAAAACUCGGGGCUUAACUCCGGGCCUGCAGUGGGUACGGGCAGACUAGAGUGCGGUAGGGGAGACUGGAAUUCCUGGUGUAGCGGUGAAAUGCGCAGAUAUCAGGAGGAACACCGGUGGCGAAGGCGGGUUGCUGGGCUGAUACUGACGCUGAGGCGCGAAAGCCAGGGGAGCGAACGGG
Molecule: ribosomal RNA, 253 nt
Filed under: uncultured bacterium
Lineage: Bacteria
Description: partial 16S ribosomal RNA
Rfam family: Bacterial small subunit ribosomal RNA
Source: RNAcentral